RNAcentral lists this ribosomal RNA (253 nucleotides) under uncultured bacterium. Its description in RNAcentral is "partial 16S ribosomal RNA". It matches the Rfam family "Bacterial small subunit ribosomal RNA", at positions 524 to 776 of the family's 1533-position model. The record is from RNAcentral.
UACGGGGGGGGCAAGCGUUGUUCGGAAUUACUGGGCGUAAAGGGCUCGUAGGCGGCCAACUAAGUCAGACGUGAAAUCCCCAGGCUCAACCUGGGAACUGCGUCUGAUACUGGAUGGCUUGAAUCCGGGAGAGGGAUGCAGAAUUCCAGGUGUAGCGGUGAGAUGCGUAGAUAUCUGGAGGAAUACCGGUGGCGAAGGCGGCAUCCUGGACCGGCAUUGACGCUGAGGAGCGAAAGCUAGGGGAGCAAACGGG